CCUACGGGUGGCAGCAGUGGGGAAUAUUGCACAAUGGGGGAAACCCUGAUGCAGCGACGCCGCGUGAGCGAUGAAGUAUUUCGGUAUGUAAAGCUCUAUCAGCAGGGAAGAAAAUGACGGUACCUGACUAAGAAGCCCCGGCUAACUACGUGCCAGCAGCCGCGGUAAUACGUAGGGGGCAAGCGUUAUCCGGAUUUACUGGGUGUAAAGGGAGCGUAGACGGCGGUGCAAGCCAGAUGUGAAAGCCCGGGGCUCAACCCCGGGACUGCAUUGGGAACGGUGCUGGUAGGGUGUCGGAGAGGCAGGCGGAAGUCCUGGGGUAGCGGUGAAAGGCGUAGAUAUUAGGAGGAACACCAGUGGCGAAGGCGGCCUGCUGGACGAUGACUGACGUUGAGGCUCGAAAGCGUGGGGAGCAAACAGGAUUAGAUACCCUUUAGUC
RNAcentral lists this ribosomal RNA (439 nucleotides) under uncultured bacterium. Its description in RNAcentral is "partial 16S ribosomal RNA". It matches the Rfam family "Bacterial small subunit ribosomal RNA", at positions 338 to 795 of the family's 1533-position model. The record is from RNAcentral.